AGGCAUUCACCCGUCACAUUCCAACACCGUUCUGCUGCGGGAACACAAAGUGCACCUAGUUAUGCACCGCACUUUUUUGCACAAUUCUCUCCGGGAGGCAUUCACCCGUCACAUUCUAACACCGUUCUACAUGCGGGAACACAAAGUGCACCUAGAUAUACCUCGUUUACGUCUGCGUUGGAGGAGGUGGAGCUAGCGUUCGGCAAAACAUCGCAAGUUUAUAGAAACUGAAAUCAUAUUGUUACAUGCAUUUCAAGCUGUUUUUUACUAUGUCAAUGUUAUUGUUGCUCCUAUUUU
Molecule: long non-coding RNA, 297 nt
Organism: Trifolium pratense (red clover)
Lineage: Eukaryota; Viridiplantae; Streptophyta; Magnoliopsida; Fabales; Fabaceae
Exons: 3
Source: RefSeq, a predicted model, not a curated record